This 72-nucleotide transfer RNA is filed under the name Camelus bactrianus (Bactrian camel). It matches the Rfam family "tRNA". Rfam says of the family: Transfer RNA (tRNA) molecules are approximately 80 nucleotides in length. Their secondary structure includes four short double-helical elements and three loops (D, anti-codon, and T loops). RNAcentral also lists the same sequence under 2 other names. Lineage: Eukaryota; Metazoa; Chordata; Mammalia; Artiodactyla; Camelidae. The record is from Rfam by way of RNAcentral.
GAGGGUGUAGUUCAGUGAUAGAGCACGUGCUUAGCAUGCCUGGGGUCCUGGGUUCAAUCUCCAGCACCUUCA